This is a long non-coding RNA of Patella vulgata (common limpet), 504 nucleotides long. RefSeq lists it as uncharacterized. NCBI's taxonomy places the organism in Eukaryota, Metazoa, Mollusca, Gastropoda, Patellidae. The record is from RefSeq and is a predicted model, not a curated record. The transcript has 3 exons.
GCUAAACGCCGCUAGGAGCGCUGGCUGUACUAUUUACAGACAUCACAAAAAGUUGACCGAGAAAAGUAUACGUCGUGUUACGCCUUGUCAUGAAUAUUCAAAGUGUCAAACAUUGACCACGUGAUGUUUACCAUCGAGAAAAAUAGAUGAACUUGCUGUCGAGUAGGAUUUUGAGAAGCUGAGGAACUGUAGCUGAAGAAGUAAGCUACAUAAUAUAUACUCAUCCAAAUCCAAACAUAGCCAAAGGCGAUCCCUGAUAUUACUUGGUACAACAUAAAAUAGACAAAUGAUGAUGAUAUAUAGGCCUACUCAUACAGCUUGCAUGAGGACUAUAAAAAGGGGGGCUUGAAACUGACUGUUUCUCAGCAUUCUCAAGAAAGUCCAUAAUUAUUAUAAAUUUGGUAUGAAUCAUAGAAAUUAUUCAUUCUAGAUAGUUCACAAUUGCAGUAUCGUUGUCAUUUUUGAGUCAAUGGUUGUAUCUGAAAACCCGUUGGCAAUGCUAUA